RNAcentral lists this ribosomal RNA (964 nucleotides) under Monoplex parthenopeus. Its description in RNAcentral is "small subunit ribosomal RNA". The record is from RNAcentral. Lineage: Eukaryota; Metazoa; Mollusca; Gastropoda; Littorinimorpha; Ranellidae.
CUUUUAUAAAAAAAGAAACUGAAGACUGUUAAGUGCCUUUCAUAUUGGUAAUCAAUUUAUAACUAUAACAAUUAAAGCUUGGCUCUGGCUUACAAGUAUAAUAAAAACUAAAAAAUACACAUGGUUUUUAUUGAUUGAGACGAGGAAAGAUAUAAUUGUUUUUAAUAUAUAAAAUUCUAAAACAAUUCCAUCUUAUGAUAUUAUUAUAUACAUGAUAUUUUGAAAAGUCCCGUUAACACCAGUGUCUGAGGUUAAGUAAAAAGCGAAAGCUUGUAUUAAUUUAGUUUUUAAGCCUGGUUAACUUGGUGCCAGCAUCCGCGGUUACACCAAGAGGCUAUAUUAUACAUAUUAAGGUAAAAAGGUGGUUAAAUAUUUAAGUUAAAAAUGGUUUAUUAACUUCUUAUUAAAGAGUAAAAUCUACAUAUAAGUAAAUAAUCUAAUAUAAGCUAAUUUUUAUAUAUUGACUCCGCGAAACCCUUGAGGGAAACUGGGAUUAGAUACCCCACUAUUCUUGGAUAUAAAUUAAUGUAAGUUUACCAGAGUACUAUGAAUCUUUUGAACAAAUUUAAAACUCAAAGGGCUUGGCGGUGUUUUAGACCUCUCAGGGGAACCUGUCUCAUAAUCGACAAUCCACGCUAGACCUAACCUUUAUUUGCCAAUUCAGUUUGUAUACCGUCGUCGUCAGGUAACUUUUAAAAAAUAAGAAGUUAGCAAUAAAAUAGUUUUAAGUUUAAACGUCAGAUCAAGGUGCAGCUAAUAUAAAGGUGAGGAUGGGUUACAAUUAUUAAUUAUAAUUACGAAAAGAUAAUUGAAAUAUUAUCUUCUGAAGGAGGACUUGAAAGUAAAAAAAACUAUGUAAAUAUCUUGAAUAAGGCUCUGAAACAUGCACACAUCGCCCGUCGCUCUCGUUGAAAAAUGAGAUAAGUCGUAACAUAGUAGAGGUAAUGGAAAUUGUUUCUGAAUG